Erinaceus europaeus (western European hedgehog) is the source of this 184-nucleotide small nucleolar RNA. The record is from Ensembl. NCBI's taxonomy places the organism in Eukaryota, Metazoa, Chordata, Mammalia, Eulipotyphla, Erinaceidae.
AUGGUCAUGUGUGCACAGUUUGCAUCUGUGUCUGGUAGCAGUGUCUGUCUGUGUUUUGCAUUCAGAUUUUGUUAUCCACACAAAAGCCAUGCAGCCAAAGAGUAAUUUGAGGUCAUAGUACUGGCUCUGUGCUGUCCCUUUGGACACAUUCACCACAGGCCAGCCUCCAAAUCCCCACACAUAG